Molecule: transfer RNA, 85 nt
Filed under: Sphingomonas sp.
Lineage: Bacteria; Pseudomonadati; Pseudomonadota; Alphaproteobacteria; Sphingomonadales; Sphingomonadaceae
Description: tRNA-Leu
Rfam family: tRNA
About the family: Transfer RNA (tRNA) molecules are approximately 80 nucleotides in length. Their secondary structure includes four short double-helical elements and three loops (D, anti-codon, and T loops). Further hydrogen bonds mediate the characteristic L-shaped molecular structure. tRNAs have two regions of fundamental functional importance: the anti-codon, which is responsible for specific mRNA codon recognition, and the 3' end, to which the tRNAs corresponding amino acid is attached (by aminoacyl-tRNA synthetases). tRNAs cope with the degeneracy of the genetic code in two manners: having more than one tRNA (with a specific anti-codon) for a particular amino acid; and 'wobble' base-pairing, i.e. permitting non-standard base-pairing at the 3rd anti-codon position.
Source: RNAcentral
GCCCCCGUGGCGAAAUUGGUAGACGCAUUCGACUCAAAAUCGAACGCCGCAAGGCAUGCUGGUUCGAGUCCGGCCGGGGGCACCA